UGCAGCAUGAAAGCUCUCUGCCCACUCAAACCCAGUGGUAGGGAGGUAUUUCACUGCACUGUUAGCUUGGCUGCAUCCAUGCGUGUGUUUGUUUAGCGUGUGCGUGUGUACGUGUGUAUCGUCCACAAAACUGAAGCAAGCUUAGAGUACUCCGUCAAAUGACAAGCAAGCCUGGAUAAAUGCUUCUUCAGCAUCUCUCUCCUACAUGCAGCAAAGUGGGACAUCAAUGGUGUUCUACUGCUGACUGAUAGAUGGAAGAGUAGCUCCACACAGACACACCUGAAGGUGAAGAUGAAGAGCAUCAGAAGCAUGCAGAAGGUGGCCACAUUAUCCAUCGUCUUCAUCAGGACUACAAGUUGUCUCCUCAAUGCAGGAAGGAAGCGAACCAACUUCAGAACCCGAAGCAGACGGAAAGCCGAAAGCCAGCAGCAUGAAGCCCAUCUCCAACACAAACAUGCUCGUGAAGACGAUGUUGCUGAUCUCCAACACAUCCGUCAACUCCUCUGGCUGCAUGAAUAAGAGAAUAAAA
Molecule: long non-coding RNA, 529 nt
Organism: Syngnathoides biaculeatus (alligator pipefish)
Lineage: Eukaryota; Metazoa; Chordata; Actinopteri; Syngnathiformes; Syngnathidae
Exons: 3
Source: RefSeq, a predicted model, not a curated record